RNAcentral lists this ribosomal RNA (565 nucleotides) under uncultured bacterium. RNAcentral's name for it is "bacterial SSU rRNA". It matches the Rfam family "Bacterial small subunit ribosomal RNA", at positions 152 to 751 of the family's 1533-position model. The record is from RNAcentral.
GGAAACUGGAGCUAAUACCGGAUACGCCCUUUUGGGGAAAGGUUUACUGCCGAAGGAUCGGCCCGCGUCUGAUUAGCUAGUUGGUGGGGUAACGGCCUACCAAGGCGACGAUCAGUAGCUGGUCUGAGAGGAUGAUCAGCCACACUGGGACUGAGACACGGCCCAGACUCCUACGGGAGGCAGCAGUGGGGAAUAUUGGACAAUGGGCGCAAGCCUGAUCCAGCCAUGCCGCGUGAGUGAUGAAGGCCUUAGGGUUGUAAAGCUCUUUUAUCCGGGACGAUAAUGACGGUACCGGAGGAAUAAGCCCCGGCUAACUUCGUGCCAGCAGCCGCGGUAAUACGAAGGGGGCUAGCGUUGCUCGGAAUCACUGGGCGUAAAGGGCGCGUAGGCGGCGUUUUAAGUCGGGGGUGAAAGCCUGUGGCUCAACCACAGAAUGGCCUUCGAUACUGGGACGCUUGAGUCUGGUAGAGGUUGGUGGAACUGCGAGUGUAGAGGUGAAAUUCGUAGAUAUUCGCAAGAACACCGGUGGCGAAGGCGGCCAACUGGACCGGCACUGACGCUGAGG